AUUGAACGCUGGCGGCAGGCCUAACACAUGCAAGUCGAGCGAGCGGCGGACGGGUGAGUACUGUCUGGGAAACUGCCUGAUGGAUGGGGAUAAAUACUGGACACGGUAGCUAAUACCGCAUACCAUCAGAUGUGCCCCGAUGGGAUUAGCUAGUAGGUGGGGUAACGGCUCACCUAGGCGACGAUCCCUAGCUGGUCUGAGUGGAUGACCAGCCACACUGGAACGGAGACACGGUCCAGAGUCCUACGGGAGGCAGCAGUGGGGAAUAUUGGACAAUGGGCGCAAGCCGGAUGCAGCAAUGCCGCGUGUGUGAAGAAGGCCUUCGGGUUGUAAAGCACUUUCAGCGGGGAGGCGGUACCAGCAGAAGAAGCACCGGCUAACUCCGUGCCAGCCGCCGCGGUAAUAC
Molecule: ribosomal RNA, 406 nt
Filed under: uncultured bacterium
Lineage: Bacteria
Description: partial 16S ribosomal RNA
Rfam family: Bacterial small subunit ribosomal RNA
Source: RNAcentral